Molecule: long non-coding RNA, 277 nt
Filed under: Homo sapiens (human)
Lineage: Eukaryota; Metazoa; Chordata; Mammalia; Primates; Hominidae
Description: non-protein coding lnc-GYPB-2:4
Source: RNAcentral
UUUGCACUAACUUCAGGAACCAGCUCAUGAUCUCAGGAUGUAUGGAAAAAUAAUCUUUGUAUUACUAUUGUCAGCUCCUGUAGUGAUAAUACUCAUUAUUUUGUGUGUGAUGGCUGGUAUUAUUGGAACGAUCCUCUUAAUUUCUUACAGUAUUCGCCGACUGAUAAAGGCAUGAGGAUGUGGCCUGCAUGCUGCCUGAUCUUGCCUAGAACCGGCUGCACCUGCUGUUCUCUUGUUUAUGCAAACUGGCUGCACCUGCUAUUCCUUUGCUUAUGCC